CCUACGGGUGGCAGGGAUUCACGCACCUUUUGUGGAAUGAUCGUUCGCAUUGAACGUGCUGCAUGCUGGUUUUCGUGGGUAACCACAAUAGCGGUAUCGACAGACCCUAAAAUAUCAGAGGAGCCCCGAACGCGAUAGGAAAGAUCGGAGUUUCCACCCUUAUUGAGAUGAUGAAUCAGAAUGAAUGUCGUACCGGUCUGGUUGGCGAUUUCACGCAGGGUGUUCAUCAUCGGGGAAAUUUCUGCAACUGAAUUUUCAUCAGCGCCAGGCAUAAACUUGGCCAUGACAUCAAAAAUGACCACAGAAGCAUCCAACCGAUGAAUGCGCUGACGCAAUGCCAGCACUUCGGAAGAGACUUUCAGGUUAAGUGGAGAAAAGUCGAAAAUCAGGUUCGCAGGCGGUUGAAUUCCUCGCGCCUGGCACAGUUGGAGAACACGCGCGCGCAUACCCUAGUAGUC
RNAcentral lists this ribosomal RNA (458 nucleotides) under uncultured prokaryote. RNAcentral's name for it is "partial 16S ribosomal RNA". The record is from RNAcentral.